RNAcentral lists this ribosomal RNA (497 nucleotides) under uncultured bacterium. RNAcentral describes it as "partial 16S ribosomal RNA". It matches the Rfam family "Bacterial small subunit ribosomal RNA", at positions 28 to 507 of the family's 1533-position model. The record is from RNAcentral.
GAUGAACGCUGGCGGCGUGCCUAAUACAUGCAAGUCGAGCGAACGGACGAGACGCUUGCUUCUCGGAUGUUAGCGGCGGACGGGUGAGAAACACGUGGAUAACCUACCUAUAAGACUGGGAUAACUUCGGGACACCGGAGCUAAUACCGGAUAAUAUUUUGAACCGCAUGGUUGAAAAGAGAAAGACGGUCUUGCUGUCACCUAUAGAUGGAUCCGCGCUGCAUUAGCUGGUUGGUAAGGUAACGGCUUACCAAGGCAACGAUGCAUAGCCGAACUGAGAGGGUGAUCGGCCACCCUGGAACUGGACCACGGUCCAGGGUCCUACGGGAGGCAGCAGUAGGGAACCUGACGCAACGGGCGAAAGCAUUACGGAGUAACGCCGAGUCAGUGAUGAAGGUCUUCGGAUCGUAAAACUCUGUUAUUAGGGAAGAACAUAUGUGUCAGUAAAUGUGCACAGCUUGACGGUACCUAAUCAGAAAGCCACGGCUAACUACGUG